This 549-nucleotide ribosomal RNA is filed under the name uncultured bacterium. RNAcentral describes it as "partial 16S ribosomal RNA". It matches the Rfam family "Bacterial small subunit ribosomal RNA", at positions 355 to 900 of the family's 1533-position model. The record is from RNAcentral.
UGGGGAAUUUUGGACAAUGGGGGCAACCCUGAUCCAGCCAUCCCGCGUGUGCGAUGAAGGCCUUCGGGUUGUAAAGCACUUUUGGCAGGGAAGAAACAGCCUGGGAUAAUACCCCGGGCGACUGACGGUACCUGCAGAAUAAGCACCGGCUAACUACGUGCCAGCAGCCGCGGUAAUACGUAGGGUGCAAGCGUUAAUCGGAAUUACUGGGCGUAAAGCGUGCGCAGGCGGUUCGGAAAGAAAGGUGUGAAAUCCAGGGCUUAACCUUGGAACUGCACUUUAACUACCGAGCUAGAGUACGUCAGAGGGGGGUAGAAUUCCACGUGUAGCAGUGAAAUGCGUAGAGAUGUGGAGGAAUACCGAUGGCGAAGGCAGCCCCUGGGAUGAUACUGACGCUCAUGCACGAAAGCGUGGGGAGCAAACAGGAUUAGAUACCCUGGUAGUCCACGCCCUAAACGAUGUCAACUAGCUGUUGGGGUUUAUUAACCUUAGUAGCGCAGCUAACGCGUGAAGUUGACCGCCUGGGGAGUACGGUCGCAAGAUUAAAAC